CCAAUAGCGUAUAUUAAAGUUGUUGCAGUUAAAAAGCUCGUAGUUGAAUUUCGGGGUUUAUCCGUCGGUCGGGCUUUUGGGUCUGUACUGGCGUGAUGGAUUCCUACCUUCUGAAUAACCGGCAUGUCAUUAAUUUGGUGCGCCGGGGAAGCAGGACUGUUACCUUGAAAAAAUUAGAGUGCUUAAAGCAGGCUUAUGCCUGAAUACAUUAGCAUGGAAUAAUGAAAUAGGACGGCAUGGUUCUAUUUUGUUGGUUUCUAGGAUCACCGUAAUGAUUAAUAGGGAUAGUUGGGGGCAUUAGUAUUCAAUUGUCAGAGGUGAAAUUCUUGGAUUUAUUGAAGACUAACCUCUGCGAAAGCAUUUGCCAAGGAUGUUUUCAUUAAUCAAGAACGAAAGUUAGGGGAUCGAAGACGAUCAGAUACCGUCGUAGUCUUAACCAUAAACUAUGCCGACUAGGGAUCGGACGAUGUUAAUUUUUUAAUGACUCGUUCGGCGCCUUACG
This 502-nucleotide ribosomal RNA is filed under the name uncultured Glomeromycotina. RNAcentral describes it as "partial small subunit ribosomal RNA". It matches the Rfam family "Eukaryotic small subunit ribosomal RNA", at positions 591 to 1092 of the family's 1831-position model. The record is from RNAcentral. Lineage: Eukaryota; Fungi; Glomeromycota.